Molecule: long non-coding RNA, 963 nt
Filed under: Crocodylus porosus (Australian saltwater crocodile)
Lineage: Eukaryota; Metazoa; Chordata; Crocodylia; Crocodylidae
Description: lncRNA (ENSCPRG00005010796.1)
Source: RNAcentral
GUGUGAAAUUAAGACUUUGGAUGGAAUCAAAUAGGUUACAAUGAGACAAGAUUCAAGUGACUUGCUUGUUGCUGCCCGAAUAGAAGUGCUGUUGCCACUGCCAGGCAGUUGGUUUUAAACUCUGGGUGGAGCAGGAAUCAAAGGUGGGUGGAAGUGCAUCAUUGCACCCCCCUGCAUCCACCCUGGAUCAGGUCUAUCUGUGCCCACAAAGUGGUGCUGAGGCAACACCCCCUGUUCCAGGAGAGCAUGCUCUUAUCCUUGAGUCAUGUCCUUUGGCUGCUGUAGCAUUGCUGGCAGAAAUCCAAGUAGCUCCUGCACAGCCACAAAUUACUCAUCUGGCCCUUUGCCUGUGGAUUUUCCAGGCUCCAAAUUCCUGCCUGGGGUGACUGUAGCAACUGCCCAGUUAAUUCUGGUUAAGGGCCCCAUGGACUCCUUCAAUGAUGGAGGACAUACCAGAAGCAGCAGCUAGUUUUGUGAAACAUUCCAGCCUGUGUUCCAGACCACAGAAGUAGAAGCUAUGCUCUUCUUUGUAGGAGAAACAGGAACACGAACAUAUCUGCACACCCUACCGAUGUGCCUUCAUGGUUCUCUUUAUUUCCCAACUACCACUGACUGUUUUUGGUCUGUCCUUCCCCCUUUCUUCUAAAUAACCUUGAGGUCUCAAGAACAAAUGAAUCAGAUAAGCCAUUCUUUAAAACAGUUGGAAGAAUUGUAAGGUUACUUUUUUAUUUAAACCUCACUUACACUAAGGGAAACUCCUCUAGAGAGUGGACUUCCACAUACAGAAGGAAGGCACACCAGUGCCUUUUUGUAACAGCAUUCUCCCUAGGAAGUUGCUGAUAAGUGAAAAGAAAAGAAAUUUCCUUGCUGCGUAAUAAGUUCUAAUCAUCUGCUCAAUCUUGAUAUUUUUCUCCUCCUUGGGAAAUCUCACACACAUCUCUGCCACCUUUUAGAAGGCUGAUG